RNAcentral lists this long non-coding RNA (1813 nucleotides) under Papio anubis (olive baboon). RNAcentral describes it as "lncRNA (ENSPANG00000051391.1)". Lineage: Eukaryota; Metazoa; Chordata; Mammalia; Primates; Cercopithecidae. The record is from RNAcentral.
AUUGUCCCUAGUGAUUCUGAUCCACAGUGAAAACUGAAAACUGUUCUAAUAUUCACCUUGCCAGAAAAAUGAGACUGUGUGAAGGGAACCCUCACUUCAAAUUGUAGAAGGAAGCUUUGAGAUUUCCAGGGAAGACGGAAGACAGAACAGGUGUCACUUUGAAAUCAGCCAAGAUGCAGUGGGUCUUAGUAAAGCAAUGGACCUCAAAACAGAUUGCAAAACAAGAACUGGUAUUAGCACAGAGACAUCACAUGAAAAGGAAGAGAAACCAAAUGAAAAGGAGAGUUCCAAAUACCAGGUCACAAUUGAAGGGGAAAUAUAUCUGCAGAGAGAUAUGGAAAUGUGUGUGUGUACGGCCUGGAUAUAUACAAACAUCUCUCCAGAUACAGAAGCAAAUGCAGAAUGUCCACAUCUCCAGGCAGAUUUAGAAAAAAAAAAAGACAAAACUGGAAUGGGAUGCUCCCAAAGUCUCAUUGGCCUUAAACAAAUCUUUGCUCUAAAACUGCACAGCCCUCCUUGAAUUUGAUCCCUUAAAUUAUUACCUACUUUGCUCUCUUAAAAUAAAAUAAAUAACUUGUAGCUUCUCCCCUGAGAGCAGCUGGCCAGACAUGCAGAAUGACAAACCUGUGUUGGUUUUCAGGUCAUCGCUGAUGGAAUCUAGAAAAGUUUUUGUACAAAUCUGCCCCUUCCUUACUACGUCACAGAGUUCUACAGUGUUUUAACAGUACCAUGGGUCCUUAAUAUGAUACAUACAUGCACGUAUAUAUCAUGGAGAUAUGGCUUUCAUUAUGUUAUUAUAUGUAUUCUGAAGGGUUUUGUUUUUUUUUUUUUUUAAAUCACCAACAAAGAGAACAAACGACCCAACUCUUAUCUCUCAUAGGUCAGCAUAUAACUUGAAUGGACAUAAGGUUCAUCUUGUCAUCUCCCUCGCUUGACUGCAGAUGCUACUGGAUUUCCUUUUGUUCUCUGUUAAUUUACACUUUUGAAUUUUUGAGAAUUGACUUUCCAAGCCUUUAAUGAAAAACAAGGUGUUUCAGUAAUUAACGGGCACAAGCAAAACCUAAAACAGAGCUAUCGCACCUUCAGAAACAAAUAAGAAAUAACAUCACCUAAGAUGAAUGAAAAUCACUCCCUUUCAAUCUGGCUCAUGUUAUAAAGAUGUCAAGUUUAGCAAAAUUCCCCUCACAGAGGGUAGCAAGUUUUCUUGAGGAACAGAAAUAUUUUUCUUUCUUGGUAUAUCUGACCAUUCAAAUAGCUGUAAAUUUCUAUUUAAAUUUGCGCCCUCUUUUUUGCAAAACCAGUGACUAUGCCCAGAAGCACAUUUCCAGUGCUUGGUCUGGGCACAGCCUUCCGUUGGCAUGCUGUGCCAAAUUUUGUAUUUUGACGUUUUCAAUGGAGUGAAGGAAACAAAGACAGCAUACUGACAAUGGAGAACACUUGGAAUGAAACCACUCUCCCAACCAGAGCCCAGAGCAAGGGACUUGACCUGUGUACACUGAACGUGAGUGCAUGUGAUGCCCUCAGGGUGAGGUUUCCUUUCCCUUAGGGAUUGAUUCUGCCCUUCCCACAGUCCUGUGGGUUCCACGUGGAUGAGGAUUUCCAGGCUUCGGGGUCCAUAUUCAUUAAAACCCAUCACCACCGUACAACCCAGAGACAUUGAAACUCAGCUAAUAUACUCCAUUAGCUUCCCCUAAUUGUAUAAGUCAUACCUUUUUAUGGAUCUGCUCUACCUAUCAGGGGAACGAUGUCUGGAGCGGUAGUGUCUGCACACAAGGUAUUAAUCAACGAAGACCAUGCACAAUUUUGCUUGCAC